CCUUUGACGUUAGCGGCGGACGGGUGAGUAACACGUGGGUAACCUACCUAUAAGACUGGGAUAACUUCGGGAAACCGGAGCUAAUACCGGAUAAUAUUUCGAACCGCAUGGUUCGAUAGUGAAAGAUGGUUUUGCUAUCACUUAUAGAUGGACCUGCGCCGUAUUAGCUAGUUGGUAAGGUAACGGCUUACCAAGGCGACGAUACGUAGCCGACCUUAGAGGGUGAUCGGCCACACUGGAACUGAGACACGGUCCAGACUCCUACGGGAGGCAGCAGGC
RNAcentral lists this ribosomal RNA (279 nucleotides) under uncultured Staphylococcus sp. Its description in RNAcentral is "partial 16S ribosomal RNA". It matches the Rfam family "Bacterial small subunit ribosomal RNA", at positions 83 to 354 of the family's 1533-position model. The record is from RNAcentral. Lineage: Bacteria; Bacillati; Bacillota; Bacilli; Caryophanales; Staphylococcaceae.